Molecule: long non-coding RNA, 2001 nt
Filed under: Nicotiana tabacum (common tobacco)
Lineage: Eukaryota; Viridiplantae; Streptophyta; Magnoliopsida; Solanales; Solanaceae
Description: long non-coding RNA (NTAB_LNC001690)
Source: RNAcentral
GUUGCUUCAUUUCCAUGAAAUGUAGAUACACUUAUUAUUUCUCAUUUCACUGAAUUUUCUUAUAGGGAAUGUAAGGGGCAAUCAGGUAGAGGAGGACAAGGAGCACCUCUCAUUGGAUGACAGUGACAAUUUUUAUCAUUAUCGCAGAAACUAUUGAUAUCACCUACACCUUUGUAACAUGACUCUAUGCACUUUUUUUCACAUUCAUUUGAUGAAUCUUCACAACCAAAUUUCUCAAAAACUGCUUCGCACAUGUCAUAAUCUGACUGAACAAAUUUUGGUUCCUCUGCUUCAACUAACAUAAAACACAAAAAAGUAAAUAAAUAAUAAUAAUAAUUAAAAAAUUGAUGGGGGAAAAUAUCAUACAUUACCUACUACACGUAGGUUAGCAUUUUACUCAAUUUCUAGUUUUCUUAAGUGUCUCGAAUAAAUAUACUAGAAAAAAUACUUUUAAAAUUCUAGAUUAUUAGAUACAUAGAACAAAAUUAACUUAGUUAUAGCUUUUCAGUAAAAAGGCUUCACAUUUUCAAAUUCCAUUAUUUUAUUUCUAUGAAGGUAAUUUAGUUAAGCAUUAACCAAACCUAUCUCUUUUUAUGGAAUGAACUAUCGUAAAGGACUUCUCAAUAUUUAAAAAAAAAAAACAUUCGAUUUAAGGAAAAGCAGCUUUCAAAUAAAAGAAAUUUUUAAUAUCAAGUCGUAUAUAAGAAAUAGCCAAAAAUACCUUUCUUUUAACUUGCUAACUCCCUGCAAAAAUGUAAGAAGUAAACUUAAAGAAAUUGCUAUUAAAUUUGUAGCCCUCUUAGAGCCCGUUUGCAUUGGCUUAAAAAAAGUAGCUUCUAAGCACAAGGGCUUAAAAGCAGCUUUUAAGUGCUGGACCUUGUUUUAUAAAUAAGCAGUUAUCUGUUUGGAUAAUAGUGCUGAAACUUAAAAAAAGUUGUUGAAGUGUUUGGUAAACAAGUGCUGGUAAGCACUUUUUUUAUUAAAAAGACAAAAAUAUCCUUAAAGCUGUUAAUAUUAUAAAGGAGCUGAUUACUAUAAUAUAUUUAAUUAUGAAUUAAUGCAAAUAAAAAAUAAUUUAUAUUUAAAUUUAAUUUCAAUUUAUGAGAUUAUUUUAGAUAAUUUUUAUAAAGUAGAAGAAAGAUACUAUAUAGUCAAGUAGAAUUGGUAGAAAGUAACGCAGGCGGAUCAGAAAAUGAUACUUGAGGAAAGUGCAGAAAAUGAAAGAGGAAGUAGAGAGGAAGAUGAAAGAAGAGGAACGGGUCUUCAGAUGUGAAGAAAAUAGGAGAAGAAAAUGUUUUGGGGUUUCUUUGAUUGAGGAUAAGUUUGAUAUUAUGAAAACUUAUAAUGGACAAAAGAGUAAUUUUAUUGGUCAAGCCAAAAUGGCUUUUAAGCCAAAAUUGAAAAAGUUGGGAUCAACCAACUCGUUGCUUUUGGCUUUUUUAAGCACAUUUUAACUUUUUUUAAGCAGUUUUUUUUUUUUUUUUUUUGCCAAACACUCAAUAUAAUUAAAAGUGACUUAAAACCUGGUUUGCCCAUCCAAACACCCUCUUAAUCAGUGGUGGAUGUAAUGUAUUAGCGACAUGUUCAGUUGAACUCAUAACUUUCGGUGCUGAGUAAAAUUUUAUGUGUAAAUAUUCAUUAGAAUUACAAAAAUAGUAGAUAUGAACUCAUAACUUUAAAAAUAUAAUGAGUUCGAUGUUAAAAACCUUAAAAGUUGAACAUAUAAAAUUUAAAUCUUGAAUCUGCAUCUGCUAUACAAGGGAUACUUAUUCCAUUCGACUAACAAACUGUGACGUUUCUGAAGUUUUUAAUCACCAAUUAGAGAAAAACUGAAAUUAUUUAUAAUUUGUAUAAAAUAGGAAUGCAAACUGUCACAAUUUAAAAAUGAAACUUGACAAAGAAGAUCGUAUAAACCAUAUACCUGAAGCCGCAACUAGUAAAACUAGAAGAACAGUACAAAUGAUUUUCAUUCUUAGGCAGUAAAUUUUACUGAUGAGAAAC